Long non-coding RNA from Amphimedon queenslandica, 1006 nucleotides. RefSeq lists it as uncharacterized. The record is from RefSeq and is a predicted model, not a curated record. Lineage: Eukaryota; Metazoa; Porifera; Demospongiae; Haplosclerida; Niphatidae. The transcript has 3 exons.
CAUGAAGACUGGUUUUAAUUCUGUUUAUGUUGGAGUAUUUCAGCCUACAUUUAUGUCUAAUAUCACUGUCAUUGUUAACAAUAGUAAAUUCAGUAGAAAUAAUUAUUUAGCUUUAACAACAGGGUCAUGCAUGCAUGCGGGAACUCACUAUCCUCAUGAGAACAAUCAGUGCAAAGUAUUGAACAUUGUACUUACUAAUAUUAAAGUGUCCAAUAACAUGUUAAUUAACAGAUGUUAAAGUUACUAACUCCAGAAAUGCAGUGUUCACAAUUCAAAAUCUCGCAACACUUAGUAUUGGUGGGGUCAGUGAUUUUUCUGAUAACUAUGGCUCAGUAUUUAAAGAAAUAAAGCAGAGAGUGGAGCAGCAUUUGAUCUUAAUGGCAACACUCAUAUUUAUCCUGAAGUUCCUGGUAAUGGAUAUAAUGUUACUUUCAUUGACAAUGUUGCUGUGACUAAAGGAGGAGCUAUAUAUGCUAAUGAUGAUGCAUCUAACUUAUGCAUUUUCCAGAUGCUUAGCAAUAAAACUAAGAUGACAUUCAAAAAUAUCACUGCUGGCAAAUCAGGUAGCUCUAUAUACAGUAACAAUAAUGUUCCAAUGUUUCAGGUACAAUGAAUUAGGAUCUGGACAACUUAAAAAACCAAACAGUCACUGUCACUUUAUAACUUAACAUUUACUUCUGUUUCUUCAUCCCAUCUUCAUAGUAUCUCAACACUUUUUCGCAUUGGAAUUAUGUAAAGCAGAAGAAUUUCAUUUAAGUCAAAUAUAAGGUCAAACACUGAUGCUACAUUUUUGUGCAAAAGAUCUAUAUAGGCAUGCAAUGAUCAGGGACUUGACAACAGGAAGGUUUGCAAGGAUGAUGUGUAAACUAGAUACUCUCACUGCUUCUUGAACAAGGACUUGUAUCAAAAUUAGUACUUCAGUGCAGUUUCACUGAACACUGUUAUUGUUUGUGUAACAAUUAAUACUAAAAUACCACAAUACCAAUGGACACCAUCUGAAGAAAUA